This 84-nucleotide small RNA is filed under the name Marmota monax (woodchuck). Lineage: Eukaryota; Metazoa; Chordata; Mammalia; Rodentia; Sciuridae. The record is from RNAcentral.
GUUGGGCAUGGUGGUGCAUGCCUGUAAUCCCAGUGAUUCCAGGAAGCUGAGGCAGGAGGAAUGAAAAUUCAAAGCCAGCCUCAG